ACAGGUAGUGUCCCUCAGGGCUGUAGAACAGGGCUGGGAUUACUAAAGCCCUGUUCGAUGCCCUGAGGUACACUGAGCAUGUCA
MicroRNA precursor from Nomascus leucogenys (northern white-cheeked gibbon), 84 nucleotides. The record is from Ensembl. NCBI's taxonomy places the organism in Eukaryota, Metazoa, Chordata, Mammalia, Primates, Hylobatidae.